CUUUUCGUGGCGUCUUCUCCAGGCCUUCUUCUCCCGCAGCCGCAGCACGCCGAAGCUUCUGCAGCUCCUCCGCCGGUCCGACGCCGACAACGCCGCGAGUUCUAACCGCCCUAAGGAAGUCGCCGUCCCAACGCCUGGCGUCGGUGGUUCCGUCCGAUCGACGCCGAGCGCCGCCGGCCACCGGUCGGCCGGCGCUUUCGAGAAUCUCCGGGUAGACUCCGGCGAGAUGCGCGUGCUUCAUCUCGCCCAAACCGGGCGAGGGAACCUAACGAAAAGCUAGAAGAACGACAUGGACGAUGGGUGACAAGAGUACGACCCCGAGCAACGCAGAAAAAACCAAAAACCAAACUCCGGUCGAGGGUUGGGUGCGGCGAUUUCAUUGAGGCAUUUCGUCGAACAGCCACUGGGCAUUACCAAAUUCAGAGGUUUAAGGCUCAACCGGGCCUCGAACACACUUUAGAG
Molecule: long non-coding RNA, 462 nt
Filed under: Eucalyptus grandis
Lineage: Eukaryota; Viridiplantae; Streptophyta; Magnoliopsida; Myrtales; Myrtaceae
Description: long non-coding RNA (EGRA_LNC002782)
Source: RNAcentral